AGUGAACGCUGGCGGCAGGCCUAACACAUGCAAGUCGAACGGCAGCACAGUAAGAGCUUGCUCUUAUGGGUGGCGAGUGGCGGACGGGUGAGGAAUACAUCGGAAUCUACUCUUUCGUGGGGGAUAACGUAGGGAAACUUACGCUAAUACCGCAUACGACCUACGGGUGAAAGCGGAGGACCUUCGGGCUUCGCGCGAUUGAAUGAGCCGAUGUCGGAUUAGCUAGUUGGCGGGGUAAAGGCCCACCAAGGCGACGAUCCGUAGCUGGUCUGAGAGGAUGAUCAGCCACACUGGAACUGAGACACGGUCCAGACUCCUACGGGAGGCAGCAGUGGGGAAUAUUGGACAAUGGGCGCAAGCCUGAUCCAGCCAUGCCGCGUGGGUGAAGAAGGCCUUCGGGUUGUAAAGCCCUUUUGUUGGGAAAGAAAAGCAG
This 433-nucleotide ribosomal RNA is filed under the name uncultured bacterium. RNAcentral's name for it is "bacterial SSU rRNA". It matches the Rfam family "Bacterial small subunit ribosomal RNA", at positions 29 to 455 of the family's 1533-position model. The record is from RNAcentral.